UGCAUGGUUGUCGUCAGCUCGUGUCGUGAGAUGUUGGGUUAAGUCCCGCAACGAGCGCAACCCCUAUCUUUAGUAGCCAGCAUUUUGGAUGGGCACUCUAGAGAGACUGCCAGGGAUAACCUGGAGGAAGGUGGGGAUGACGUCAAAUCAUCAUGCCCCUUAUGAUCUGGGCUACACACGUGCUACAAUGGUGACUACAAAGAGAAGCAAGACUGCGAAGUGGAGCAAAUCUCAAAAAGGUCAUCUCAGUUCGGAUUGUAGUCUGCAACUCGACUACAUGAAGCUGGAAUCGCUAGUAAUCGCGAAUCAGAAUGUCGUGGUGAAUACGUUCCCGGGUCUUGUACACACCGCCCGUCACACCAUGGGAGUCUAAUAUGCCCGAAGUCAGUGACCCAACCGCAAGGAGGGAGCUGCCGAAG
Molecule: ribosomal RNA, 419 nt
Filed under: uncultured maize root bacterium Zmrc156
Lineage: Bacteria
Description: bacterial SSU rRNA
Rfam family: Bacterial small subunit ribosomal RNA
Source: RNAcentral